GGUGACUACAGAGGGUAUGAACAUCCCCCCCUGGAUAUUUCAGUCUGCUUCUCAGGGAACAGAGGCAACUUCAGAAAAAGAAACCAAGAGCUUGGUUGAAAGCAAGCCCUUACCGUGAGUGGGAACCAGUCAUAGAAACUGCAGGUGAACUGUAAGGAAAACGUGGGAGCUUCCAAAUCACCUUCUCCUCUUGUCCUCUGACCCAGGGAAGCCAACACUCUUCACAGAAAGGUACCCUUUCUUCUGUGAACAGGACAUCAAUUUCUGUUAACAUGACACAACCGAAUAGCACAAAUGGGUUGAGCAUCUGACUUCAGCUCAGGUCACGAUCUCUCCGUUCCUGAGUUCCAGCCCUGCUUUGAACUCACUGCUGCUGUCAGUCCAGGGCCAACUUCGGAUCCUCUGUCUCCCUCUCUCUCUGUUCCUUCCCCACUCUCAAAAAUAAAUAAACCUUUAAAAAAUUA
This is a long non-coding RNA of Leopardus geoffroyi (Geoffroy's cat), 464 nucleotides long. RefSeq lists it as uncharacterized. Lineage: Eukaryota; Metazoa; Chordata; Mammalia; Carnivora; Felidae. The transcript is spliced from 4 exons. The record is from RefSeq and is a predicted model, not a curated record.